This 32796-nucleotide long non-coding RNA is filed under the name Arabidopsis thaliana (thale cress). RNAcentral's name for it is "long non-coding RNA (ATHA_LNC000278)". Lineage: Eukaryota; Viridiplantae; Streptophyta; Magnoliopsida; Brassicales; Brassicaceae. The record is from RNAcentral.
CUGCAAGUAUAUUAAAUAUACAUUAUAAUUAUUGACAUGCAUGCAUCAACAUAGGCUUUUAAUUAUUGAGUUAACAAGGUGUGUAGAUGUAAGUAUUGAGAGAGUAAUUACCGUGAUAGAGAUAUCUAAUAGUGGUAUGGAGGAGGAGGAGAUUUGUAGAGGUAAGGAUGGUGUGGUGGAGAGUAGUGGUGUACUGGAGGAGGAGGAGGUGAUUUGUACACGUACUUUUCCUUUGGUGGUGGUGGAGAGUGGUAAACCGGAGGAGGAGAGUAGUGCUUAACCGGAGGAGGAGGGGACUUGUAUACGUAAUGUUUCUUUGGUGGUGGUGGGGAAUGGUAGACUGGAGGGGGAGAGUAGUGCUUAACCGGAGGAGGAGGGGACUUGUAUACGUAAUGUUUCUUUGGUGGUGGUGGGGAAUGGUAAACUGGAGGGGGAGAGUAGUGCUUCACCGGUGGUGGUGGAGAUUUGUACACGUAGUGUUUCUUUGGUGGGGGUGGGGAAUGGUAAACCGGAGGAGGAGAGUAGUGCUUAACUGGAGGAGGAGGAGAUUUGUACACGUAGUGUUUCUUUGGUGGUGGUGGGGAAUGGUAAACCGGAGGAGGAGAGUAGUGCUUAACCGGAGGAGGAGGAGAUUUGUACACGUAGUGUUUCUUUGGGGGUGGUGGGGAAUGGUAAACCGGAGGAGGUGAGUAGUGCUUCACCGGUGGUGGUGGAGAUUUGUAGACGUAAUGCUUUUUAGGUGGGGGUGGGGAAUGGUAAACCGGAGGGGGAGAGUAGUGCUUAACCGGAGGAGGAGGAGACUUGUAAACGUAAUGUUUUUUUGGUGGUGGUGGUGAGUGGUAAACCGGAGGGGGAGAGUAGUGCUUAACCGGAGGAGGAGGAGACUUGUAUACGUAAUGUUUCUUUGGUGGUGGUGGUGAGUGGUAAACCGGUGGGGGAGAGUAGUGCUUGACUGGAGGAGGGGGAGAUUUGUACACGUAGUGCUUCUUGGGUGGUGGUGGAGAGUGGUAAACCGGAGGAGGAGAGUAGUGCUUAACCGGAGGAGGGGGAGAUUUGUAAACGUAGUGCUUCUUUGGUGGUGGUGGGGAGUGAUAAACCGGUGGGGGAGAGUAGUGCUUGACCGGAGGAGGAGGAGAUUUGUACACGUAGUGUUUCUUUGGUGGGGGUGGGGAAUGGUAAACCGGAGGAGGUGAGUAGUGCUUAACCGGUGGAGGUGGAGAUUUGUAUUCGUAGUGCUUCUUAGGUGGUGGUGGGGAGUGGUAUACCGGUGGAGGAGAGUAGUGUUUAACCGGAGGAGUGUAAUGUUUAACCGGUGGUGGAGGAGAAGAAUAGAAAUAGUUAGCGGUUGAUUGAGAUACAAAGGUGAGAGAGAUUGUUAAGACAAGCAAAGUUGCCACUAAAGAGGCCAUUGGAGACCCCAUUGGUUGUUUUGUUUUUGGUUUGUGAUUUAGUGCCUUCCCUUCACACCCUUUAAAUAGCUUUUUCAGUUUCACUAUUUUCACACUCGUUGUAAAAUGGUAACUUACGUCAUGUAAAAAGUACAUGCAAUUAUGUACACCAAACAUAUAUAAAUAUUAGUAUAUAGAAAGAAGUGAUGUUUGUUGGUCUCUCCGACUCUCAUUAUUAAACUUUUUUCUUCAGCCAUCGAUGAUUGACAUGUUCUCCAUGUUCGAACAACGUAUCGAAUCUCGUGAUUUUUCAAAAUAUAACGUUAGAUCUAACGUAUGUUUUCUAAAUCUCGCGAUUUUUGUUAUGUCCCUUUUGAUAAUACUCACUUUUUUUUGUGUGUGAAAAUUCACUUUAGAACAAUAAUACAAUGUCCCAAAAGCUAAGAAAGUAGUAAUUGUAAUUGUAGAACGUUGUAAGAGAAAAUAUGUUGAUGGCCUCUUGAGUUUUUCUUUUUCCGGUAAAGAAGAUAUAUAUGGCCUCUAAGUUAAAAGGGGAAACAUGAGAAAAUCAUUUCUGACUACGUUAAAUGUAAAACAUGACUCUAAACACACAAGAUUAAUACUUUACUUUUUCUUUCAAAUUUAGAAAUAACAAAACCAUAUCAGAAAUUAUGUACACAGCCGUAUAUAGGUUUGUGGUUAUAGAUUAGAUGUUUGUCGAUAUUUGAUCCAUUAAUAUGUGUAAGUCGAACUAUAACCAGCGAAUGUAAUGUCAUAACAUGGUCCAAAUUAUUAAUUUGGAAUUUAUUUAUCUUAUAUUUUACUUAACAAAGUUACUAAAUUUUAGUCCGCUUUUAUCUUUCUAUUUUUGGUUACAUGCAUCUUUUCAUUUUGUGUUAAAGUACAUACAUCCUUUUUUCUCCGAUGAUACUUUCUUCUUGGCUCCUUAUACAAGUCCUUAUGAAUAAUGGGAAACGAAUAACAUUGCCUUUGACACUUUUAGAAAAAGCAUUUGCAAUAUUCAUUUUGAGAACCAAAUAAAAGUUAUGUUCAAAUUCUUUCUUUCUUUCUUUUUUCCAGUUUUGUAAUCUUAAGUUUGAGCAUGAUCUGCCUAAUGCAUAAGUGAUUCUCGGCAAUGUAAUGGACCAACCACAGAUAUUUUCAUAGAUAGAGAUGUGAAUAUAUAUAGAUCAAUAAUCAGAAACAGCUAAAUAUAGCUAAACAACUUAUUUUCGAUAUCUCACCUACUUCCUACGUACUGGUCAAAGAUGCUUACCACAUCCAUUCUUUUACUCGUUCAUUACAAAUGUAAUCAAAUCCAAUAUUCAUUACAGAACUUAUCAAUUCAAUGUAAAAUAUUCAUCUUUAAUCUAAAUGCUCUAUCCCAACAUUAUUGCAGUUAAUGCAUAUUAGAUACAGCAAAUUUAUUAUCGAGCAUAAAACUCUAUAAUAUAGUUUUGAGUUAUUACCUAGAAGAUUCAGUUCCGGAUAAUAUUGUUUUUCAUCUAGUGAACCUAGAUCGACUAAUAAUAAACCUAUAUAAACCCCAAUUAAGUAACAUGUUCAUCGAAACUUUGCAUUUACUUCAUUUUUUUUAUAGUCGAUUAUAUUUUUCUUCUUCAACAAAAGACACUUAUAUAUGUAAUUUUUAAUUUUCUAGUCAAUACAUUUUCUCCAAAUAAAAUAGGGUUUUGUUUACGGAGAAUACUUUUUAAAAAAGAAAGAGUAUAUGAACGCGUUGACUUACGGCGGCCGAGUUAGAAGUGGAAGGAACAAAAGAGAGAAGGUGGUCCGUCAUACAUCCGAAUACCGCUCCUAAAGGUGACACUGCCAACGUGACAGUGAUUGUUCGAUCUUCGAUUUGGUGUUUUGCCUCACAUUUUCUUUGUUUAACCUUAGAACACGUUUCUUGUCCUCUCUAUUAUUCUUUUUUAAUUACAUACGCUGUCAAUUAUCAAGAGAUAAGAAAACGUUAAUAUGAUUUAACUAAUUAACAAGGUAGAUGAAUUAUCACGACCGGACUUUUCUGACUGAAUAUAAGGAUGAUAAAUGUUCAUUAUUUGUUUUUUGUUUUCUUUUUCGGUGCACUGGAUUCUUCAUUUCAAUUAUAGACUAUUGUACAUCUUCAUCUUCUAUCAAAAUAAACAAAUAAAUCAAUAAAAGAAGCUUGGUCAAGAGUCAAGAUAGAUUUUCGAUAAUUGAAUUUUAUUCAUUUUCAUCGAACUGGAUAAGUAACCAGCUGGAUUAAGACUUAGACAAAUUAACAACUUCGCAUAAUUUUUUAACACAUUCUUGAAAGCUGACUUUGUUGGUGAGACGUCAACAAAUUGCAAGAAUAAUCACCGUCAUACCGAUUUGGUCAUUUGUAAUAAAGUAACACGACAAUAGUUACCUUUGAUGAUAAUAAUUACAGAAUUAUAGAUAUUUAGAUUCCUUUAGUAAAAUAUAGCUCAUAUCUGAUCCACUUCGAAAGAUGAUAGCCUUAAAGUAAAUAUUGGUAUACAUUUGAGUUUGACUAGAUAACAAUUCCAUAAGACCAAUAAAGAUUUUACGAUAUUGAAUAGAUUUUUAUGCGCUUAUUAUUUUAAAUAUAUUAGAAAUAUACAUAAUUGGUGUUUGCUUUCAUUUAGAAUGUUAAAUUACAUGCAUGGUUUUAACUUUUAUCUUCACGAAUAUACGGAUUAAUUACGGUAUAGAUUAGAACCUCGUGAUAAUCAAAAAGGAAAAAUAUAUAGAGGGGGUAUUAUUUGACCACUCUUUGACGUGUUAGAUACUUUCUAAGAAUAUAUUUUUAAAAAAAUUAUUUUUCUUAGAUCUAUCGUUAUAUAUUAAUCUCAUAGUAACAAUUCUUCUGCUAUAUGAUUUUUCAAACAGAAAAAAAAUAUGUCUAAAAAAAGUUAUCCUUUGUAGUUUGAAUACUAGCAUUUCUUAAACACAAAUUAACUUUUCGAGCAGAAUUCCAAAUAGAACGUUAGUCAAAUUCUAAACUAGUUUUCGAGAUCUACAAAACUUUCAUCUUUUUUGUGUGGUCAAUGAUUUUUUACAUAGAAUGAUAAAAAAGAGUAUAUGAAUUCAUGAAAUGAUCAUCACUAACUUACCAUACCUUUGUUUUUUUUGAUAAAUUGAUAUAUUCAGUCUAAUAGACUCGAUUGACGACAAAAGAAAGACUUGUAUAUAAUAAAUAUGCGAUAUUAGAUUGUAACUGCAUGAUAGAUCAAUGAGUCAUAAGCAACAUGGCCUCCUUGUUCGAUACAUUUUUCUAAACAUAUUCGAUCCCUAAGCUACUAGCUACGUGUAAUUUUGCUAUAUAAAAAUAUUCAGCAUAAAAUUAAAAAAAUAGCUCAUCACUUCAGAUGAUAUGAAAAAGAAAGACUACACGUCGAUAAUCAAUCUAGACAAUAAUAAAGAUAUUUGUGACUAUUUCCUGGAAACACGUACAUAAACGUUAUUUGUCGUAAGAUACAGUUUUGUCGGGUCGCCGAAUGUGUCCCAAUAUGCAGUCUAUAAUCAAUAUGUGUCUAUUACAGACGAUUAGUUCGACUGUAAUUUCAUAUGGAUUUACAACUUUUUUUAAGAAUAUGAUUGGUAGCGGAAAAAAAUAUAUAUGAUUGGUAAAAAAAUAAAGUUUAUAAAAUUUUAAUUAACAGAAUUCCAAUAUAUAUUGAAGUGUUAAGAUUUUUGCUAAAUAAAUAAUUAGCAUCUAUACUAAUAAGAUAAGAAGAAUAAUAAUGAGGUUUAUAUAUUUACUUUUUAGGAAUUUUGAAAAUUUUCAAUAAUUUAUCUUAAAACUUUGUAGAUGGAGUUUGAGUUAUAUACUGUAUAUUUGAAUUACUGGGAGUCUGGGACAGAGCUACAGAAUUAUAAUAUAUAUUUUGCUUUAACAGAAAUUUUUGAAAUUACGGACCUAUCAUAUGUUACCAAUAAUCGUUAGAUUCGAACUUCCAUGUGGGAAUUAAAUUGAGACUACCAAACUUGUUUGAACAAAAAGAUUUCUUUUAAGAACUAAUCUAGAAUCCUAGAUUUUAAAUUAGCCUUUUGUGGACGUUUUCGCUAUAAAAAAUAAUAUGAUCAAAAUAAUUCGCAACUAAAAAUAAUUCACGACUUAUAAGAAGAAUCCCAUUCAAAAACACUAAUCAUCUCCUAAUUUUAAUUUGUUGAACUCUUUUAUUCUUUUUACAACAAAAACAUAAGAAGGAAAUCUACUGCUAAAAGCCUAAAACCAAAAAAAAAAAAAAAUAAAGAAAAAAGAAAAACAGAAAAACACUCCCUCUAUAACCAAUAUUGUACGACUUAAUUUUUUCACAAUUUCUUAAAUUCAUUAUACCGACAAACUAUCUCACGGUAAUAUCUGGAUUAUUAUUUUGUCCGUCUUUAUGGAAAGCGUUAGGAGAAGUUUGUUGAUUUUAUUCUUCAACAAAAAAAAACGUUUGUUGAUUUUAUAGUUGAUUUAUGGGACCAGCAGGCGGCUUGGCUGAUAUAUACGUCUUCGUUUUCUUUUUUUCUAGUUAGAUUUUAUGUGAUGUGAAAUUUUUUAAUUUGAAAAGAUAUAAAUAUUUUGACAUCAACAUACAAAAUGAUUAUUAUUUUAUAACAUAAUUAGCUCUUUUCUCUUAUUCCAUGGAGGAUUUAGUGACAUAUGUACACUUGGAAAAGUCACUGGUUAAUACUGUAGUAAUUUAGUAAGAAUUCUAUAAGAAGUAGAAAAUAUCUUCGAAAUAUUCUGCCGACAUAUCCUUAAAUUUAAGUUUUCACUACUUCUCCUAUUACGAUAAAAACUUAUAUAUAUAGACGUACGUUCAAAUAUCUCCCAUGUGAAAUUUCAAGUGUGUUUUUAUCCCAAAAAAAAUCAUGUGUACAAGAUAAAAAUACUAUGUAUAUUCAUCCGUACAAAAAUAACUUGUUAUUAUAAUUAUGUUAAUUUGUUUACAUUAUUUAUUUACUCUAUAUAUUUCCAAAAAAAAAAUGUUGAAAUUCAAACGCCACUAUUUUAGAAAUGAUUAAUAAGAAUUAUCCGAAAACAGAUUUAUUAUGAAAAUGGAAAAGAGGUAGAAAUUAAUUUUGAUCACGAUAAAGAUAUUCAUGAAAACCUAGUCAAUGAGAAAUUUAAUAUACUAACAUCCUUUAUAUACUAAUAAAGUAAUAAGUAAUAAUACUCAUCGAUCCGAACUACUGUACUUGUAAAACAAGUCCAACAAAAAAACAAGUAAUUCAGGUCAUCAAAUCUAACAAACUUCCCAUAACCGGACUAAACCAACAUUCUAUAGGCUCCCUUGAUUCAAGACACGUCUGUUUCCACUAAACCCUCACAUACGAGAAAUCUUACAUCAACAAACAUACUUGAUACUUCCCCAGCUAGCUCCAAAACCCACGGCGGCACGUCGGCACCAAGGUCCAUCGUCUACUUUUCUUGCAAUAAUUCACAGUAGGAGCUAAAGAAAUGUCACUGUGUCCACGAUUAUCACCAUUUGACCACAAAUUUUGUUCGCUAUUCAUAUGUUUCAAUAAAAUAAAAAUAUUACUAGUAGAUACUAAAGAAAGAGACAACGAAGUAUAACAAAUAUUUACUUUUUAUAAUUUCAGCUAGAUUUGUCUUUUGCUAGUAAAGAAGUCAGGUCCGAUACAGUGUGAAUGAACUGCAUGUGACCUGUGGGCGUCAGAAAAUGCUGGGGUAAAAACAUCAUUUCGUCAAUCGUCGUAGCAGAAAAUAUCUAUAACAGUGGUAUAAUAGCUACUUAUACGUAUUUGAUCAAAAAAAAAAAGACUACUAAUACGUAUGACCACUCCUAUUAUUAAAUCUAUUAAAUACUACUAUACGUAUUUCAUAACUGCUUGUUCUUCGUAAAUGACCACUCUCCUUUAAUUAUUUAUCAUAGUGCUAUAACAAAUUAAUUCAUAGUAUGUAACGGUGAAUUGAUAAACCAGCUACUACGAAUUAAUUUAGAAAAUAUGAAAUUUCACAAUAUGACAAAUGUAGAUGUCAUUGUUUCCAGGAGAGUUCUAAAAUACAAGAGUGUCCAAACAAACACAGUGAAGAAAGUAGUUAAGAGGAUAUUUUCCAGUGUAAGAUCUCUUGGAAUCACGCUAAUCUGUGAUUGAUUUUAUAUCUACAAUCGUACUUAAAAAAAUAUAGUGUUUUUUUUUAAUUAGGUGUAAUGUAGAACAGAGACUUUCAGAUCCACUUGAAUCAAUAUUGUAUAAAAUGUACUAAUCUAAUUGUUGUUUAACAACUUGUCUCUAUUUCCUCAAUCAUGAUUCAUAACCCGAUCGGUCUCCUAAACAUUAGUCUUGUUUGAGCCAAGAAUAUCUUCAAAAUAAUGCUGUAUUUAAAUAAGUCAUUAAAUUAUUAUCAUUGUAAGGAAUCAAUUAUUUAAAGCCACCUCUCAAUUAUUUAACAUAGUAGUAAAUUAAUUAUUUAAAGCCACCUCUCAAUUGAUUAACACUAUUUUAGUUUCCAAACCAGUGGCUAAAAAGCAAUACCUUGUUGGGGCAAAAUGUAUUUAACUAUUCAUUUCAUUUUAUUUCAAUUUUUUGCAGUAUAUAUAUGUAAUAUGUGUGUAUACGAGUCUGAUCGAGUACGUCAGCGAUUCAUGAAUACCAUUUAAUUGACAUAGGACAAAAGGUUACUUCUGAUUCACCAUUUACUAUUCUCAUCAUUCUCUUCUUUUUUGGGUUCAAAUUCUCAUCAUCGUCUAUUCCUCUUCAUCAUAACUCUCUCUUGAAUGUUAUUUCCAUCUGUAUAAAUACAAACUUACAUGAAUUAGUAACGUAUUAUUGUUUUCUAUAGCUAUUCUAGAUAGGGGACGUAAAGAGAAAAAAAGAUAGGGGACGUACUUUUUGUUGACGUUAUAGAGGACGUACUUUUUUUUACCCUGUUGUUUUUGUUUUGUUUUGUUAAAGGCUUCACGGCUUUACCCAAUUUCAAUAAUUCACAAAGACAUGUGCAAUAUGAUCAGUUUAUUACAAAAUUACAUCUUGUCUCAAAAGUCGCAAUCUACUGCUUCGUAAAAGAUGGAUAAAACAAAAGAGGAAAAGAUUGAUUUGUACAUUGCCUACUAACUUAUUUAACGUGGCCAGAAGCAUGAAGUUUCUUGAAUUAUGCAUGCACAUAAAAGCCAAAACAAAAACAAAAAAAUCUAAAGUCGGACGCGAAAAAAAGCAUCUGCUCUCUUUGGAUAUCGAAUAUACUCACCUCUCUUCAUCGCCGAUCCCAUCAGUGUUGACAUGUUUGGUCAACCAAAUAAAUUUGUAGUGUCACUGAUUUCUUAUCUUUUUGUAAAUUUUCUACAUUGAUUUGCUUUUUGAUAUAAAGUUCUAACUUUUUUAAAAGUAUCAUAUUACGAGGAAGCUAAAGCAACUACAAGCUCUAGAAGAUUGUAACUUUUCUUUGAAAGUAAAAGCACUCAUGGUUUUUAAUUGCUAACAAUAUACACUUACGAUAGGCAAAUCCUCACACUAGGGAUUAUAUGAGCCACUGUUUUGGAUUCUGUCCCAAAAAUAUAAAUGAACAAAUACAACUACGUACUGAUCCCUGAGUACACUAUUGAAGUCCCAUUUCCGUAUAAUUCCCACAUAGAAAAUAAAAGAUUGUGACAAAAAUUUCUGUCUUUGAUAGAUAACAGUAAUAAGAUGAUGCACUAAAUCUAUCCACGAGAUGGAAAGAAAAAUUAAGUGAAAGAGAAAGACUUUAGGUUCGAAUCACUUCAUCUCCGUGGUGUCUCUCCAUACAUCUCUGUUUCUUUGAGUGAAACUACUCCUAAGGAUUUGAGCAUAUGAUCAAGUGUAUUUGGGUUCAUGUAGAAUCUAGUUGCAGGAGGGAACAUGGAAGCACGAAACAAUAAGUCACCAUUUGGUCGAUGGGCCUCAAAUGUCACCUACUGAUCACCUUCUUCCUCCACGCUGUCCUGGUCUUGGACCUGGGUUUCUGAAAAAUUGGAGCCGCAAAAUCUUGGAAUCGGGUUCGUCUUCAUCCAUUCGAUAGUCUGUCAAAUAUAAAGUUGUAUCAGUUAAACCAGCGGACGAGUGUUGGCUUGCAUCGGACAAAAUCAAACUUUGAUACAGUAUAUGUUCUAGCAUAGUGUUUAUAACUGAAAUGAAGAUAGUAAUAUCAAGAAACCAAUGCAAAACAAACUCAAUAUGUGUUGGAACAAAUAUUAGCAAUCCCCAAAGUAGAGAGAAUCUCGGUUACCUUGCAAAGCGCUCAGAGCAGUUGCUGCACAGGCAGAGUUUUCAAAAUCAACAAAACACAGAACAGUAGGAUCUCCACUCCUCUGCAUAAAACCCCUUAGAAAGUCAAUAUUAAUGAAAUUAUGGGACUGAGUGUUUUCAUUUUCAACAAUUCUUCAAAUUGGAACCAGUGAAUCUUACGUGUUUUGAAUCUUGGGUCACAAGUCUUACUUCUCUAUAUCCCACAAAAGGCCGAAAUAUAUCUAGACUUCAGUUAAGGACAAUGAAUAGCUCAAACAUUCUUAAGUGAGGAAAUUAAUAAUUGUAAUGAGUCAUUAGGUAGGAUACGGGAUACUUCCCUUCUUGAGCAAUUAGAAGGAAGUCCUUCAACAUACAGAGUGUUGGAUACAUCUGGAGGUAGAGGAUGUGGUUCCCGGCCUGGCCUACCAACUGAAUCCAGCUGACCAAAACCCAUAUCCCGACCAUUUGGCCUGAAAUCUGAAGGCAAACUCCCACCACACCCAGCCAUGAGCUCACCCAUGGACGGACCAGGCAUCAUGUUGGAACCUCCUUGUCGUACCAUGCCAACACCAUUAAAUGGACCAGCUUCUUCAGAUGGCACAAAAAACGUUUGCUACAAAACAGGGAAAAGGUUUCAGUACACUGAAGAAAGAAGAGAAAAAAAACGAAGAAGAGACCACGUGAAUAAGGAUUAUACCAUACUCUGCAGGUAGCGGUCAUAAGCUGAUCCAAUACUUCUAGUAUCCUUUACUGAAUGGGGGAUACCUCGAUCCUCAUCCUGUGAUAAAUAACUGUGCAUAUCACCUGAAGGAAUCAAAUAUGGUGUACCUUCUACAAAGAGAAAAAUAAGACAAUUCAAAAUCACACAUUGAUAGGUAUGGCAAUAUAUAAACCAGUGGACCUCAUGACACACGAAAAAGAAGUACACAAGAUACAUAAUCUGCAACUAUAAAUCAGUGAUAAUCUGUUCCAGCAUUGAUGGUCAAACACUCAAACCUCUUUAACGUAGCAUCAUAUUUAGUAAGAGACGAAAUGAAGGAGGGACAAAUAAGACAAUUCAAACUCACACACACAACUUUAGAUUCAUGUGAUGAGCACAUAGCAGUUAAGGAGGGACAAGAUUCAUUGAACAUAAACUUUAAAGUAUAUGUGGGAAGCCCACCAAACAAGAAUACACAUAUCAUCAAAUUGCCAAAUUGAUGUAAACAAAUGACGCAAUCAUCACGAAAUGCAUAAGUAGAAACCCUCUAACUGCAUCGGAGUGUCUCCAAAAAAAUGAUGAAAAAACGUAAAACAUAUCCUCUCUUUUUUCCUAACACUCGUAAAUUGGUUCACCUAGAUAUAAUAACUGAAUCAAGAAUCAAAGAAAUUGUUGAAAAGGUCCAUAGAAGAAGGAGACUGAAUCUUCGAUGGACUACUCUGAAGGAUAGAGUUAAAGUCAUUAAAGAACGACGAAAAACCUUGUGGAUCGGUUGGUCCAAUAGUGGAAAAGAAGUCCGGUGAUACCGACGGCAGAGAAUAAGGUCCCGGCGAUAAAAUCCCAGCAUGGUGAAAACUUGGCCGCUCGAACCCUCGAUUUUGAUGUGGUUGUUCUUGAUGAUGAUGAUGAUAAUAUUGAUCCAUAGUCCCUUCGCCUCCAACAAAUGUCCCUAGUUCGUUUGAGAUAUUAGCCUUCUCUGUAACAGCAAACCGAGCCGCCGGAGAUAUCAACCCAUGAGAUGUAUCAACCAUUGUUGACGUGUCUUUUGGUUCCGACGUGGAUGAAGAGGAGGAGGAUGAUGUUGUGGAGGUAGAGGUUUGACCUGUGAGACGUUGGACCAAUGUCAUGAAGUUAUUAGGGUGUGUAUGGAUAAUUCUGGGAGUUACUGUGUAUAUGUUCACGGGACCAGGUGGGGGCCGAGAUUGCGACGGUUCUUGCUGAUGGGUUUGUGGUGGUUGUGGUUGCGGGUGUGGCGGCGCUAGUGGUGGCUUCUUGAUAAUCUUGUGCGAAUCUCCACGGACUUUCAGUGGUGUUGGUUUCGGACCCAUGUUUCCUCUUGAUCUUGGCGAUCUAUUAUCCAUAGAAUCCACUUUAUGAGAUGAAUAGUAUAUGUAUAUGUGUAUGUGUGAUGAUGAAUUUAGUGAAGAACAAUGAUUAUGUGAUGAUUAGGGGAAGUACUUGUAUAUAUAUAAUUAGAGAAAAAUAAGACAAUUCAAACUCACACAUCGAUAGGUACGGCAAUAUAUAAACCUGUGGACCUCAUGACACACAAAAAAGAAGUACACAAGAUACAUAAUCUGCAACUACAAAGCAUAGAUAAUCUGUUCCAGCAAUGAUGGUCAAACACUCAAAACCUCUUUAACAUAGCAUCAUAUUUAGAAAGAGACGAAAUGAAGGUUUAUUUUCUCAUUAACUUAGAAUAUGAAUGUACAUGUACAUGUUCAUAUACAAGAUAGAAUGUAAAAAACUACCCUACACAAGUAACAAGCUCUCUAUACUACUCUAAUACAUCAAUGUGGUGGGAUACAUACACUUAUCUUUACAGAACCGUUCAACCGCAAACAUAAUUUGAACAAAGUGGAUCAAGACUCCUAUAAACAAUAGUACAGAGCAAUUUUCAAGACAUACAUAUAUACUAAAAGAAGUUCUGAAUAAGAGCCAUACAAAAUGAAACCUAAGAAGAGAAUCAUAUGUUAAUGGUAGCUCCCAUAUAGCUCAUCUUUUUAAGUAAAAUAAGAAAAGGUUUUGUUUUCAUGGCAAAGAGGCAAAAUUUAGACCUAUAACAGAUGAAAAAUCUGUUCAUUAUUCUAUAUAACUAUCAUCACAACAAUGCCCACUAACAUAAGAGCUACAUUGAGAGUUGAUUCCAAGUGUAAAGACAGCUCCUUUCAGGUCUAAUAAUGAAAAUUACACACAGAGCGGAAAAAAAGAAGAAACUUUUAGCUUACGGAAGUCGGAACGGGGACGUUUGGGAGGAAGAACGUGAGGGUUCGACGAAAUUGGAAGCUGAUACUGUCUCUGCUGGUUCCAGUACUCAUCCGCCAUUGACGGCGACGGAAACAACAAAUCGAGAGAUCACAAUUCGAAAAUUAGUAAAUAAAAAUUCCUAAUUUACAGAAUAAGGCAUUCGAUUGCAGUUCUACUUGGUCCCAAUCGAACAAAAAAAUUCUACCCAGCAACUUGCUCGUUCCUCUGUUCAGAUCAAAAUUCUAAUUCGCUCAAUUUCAAUUUCAUCGAGUUUUCUGACUCAUUCUCUUUCGACAACGGAAGUGAAUGAUCCGAAUCUGAGUGACCCGACCCGUUUUGUUUAUAAACCCGGUAUUUCUUCUGGCGCCAAUUUAACAAGUAACGACUAAGUGAGGCCAUGAAUUUUGUCUGGACUAAUAUUUAUGUAAACUCAGUAAAAAUUUGGUAGAAAAUAAGUUUAACUUAAAAACUGGCAGAAAAUGAGUUUAACUUACAAAAAAAAAAGACUUUUUAAGUUUAACUAUUUAAGAUAACUCAUUUUCAACAAAUUUGUAGUGAGUUUACAUAAAUAUUUGUUGUAAGUAAAAAUUUAAGAAAAUUUACAUACAUGUCACCUACUAGUAUGUACAUAGCUUGGGGUUGGAAAGAUAUCAUUCCCCAAUUGCCUGCUCUCAUUCAUGCUUUUCAAACAUCGGAGAUGAACACUCCCAAAAUGAGAAGGUUGUGCAAAUUUACAGCACUACCAGAAGUAAGUCUUAAAAUCGUUUUUAUGUUGUUUAUUGUAUCUUUUAUCCAACACUUAUAGACUCUAACACACAUUGUAUUAUAUAGGCAAUGAAUAACAUAGGCGACAGAUCAGAUGUUUACAGUUUCAGAAUUUUUCUUGGUACUAUAAUAACGGUUAAGGUUUCAUAUGAGACUUUGGAUAGAUUAACGGCUAGACACACAAGCCUUAGGUGUUAUCGGGGUAAGACUUUUCUCCAUCCUUAAAAUAACUCUGACUGUGACAUAAUUGACUAAAUUGUGGUCAUGUGUUCAUUAGGGACAAAGGCCUGAACUUCCAAGCGAGACGAAUCCAAGACUGAAGAAAUUAAUCGAUGAAAUGCUUGGAUGGAGAUGCUAUGUAUAGGCCUCACAUCUAAGAUGUAAGACGUGUUUUGGAGUCGCUUGUCUCAGAAUUAAAUACGCCUACUACACCAACAACAACGCCUCUCCUGGUCACUCCUUCAACAUCAAACUCAACAUCGACACUGGUGUUAAGGGAUCAAUUUGAGGCAUUAUCAGGUGAUCUUGAUUCUUGAGUAAAAACCAGGAAAUAAUUUCACAAAAAGAAAAACAUUAUCCCAAACUUUGAUUUUUUCUAUGCUCACGUAGCUAAGAACGUGUUGAUAUCUCUGUUCUGGCACAUAUACAGUUUUAGUGCCCAAACUUUUUUGUUCUUUACUUCUUUUUCUUCCUGAUCAAUUGUGAACUUUGAGAUUCAGUUGUAUAUUCUAGAAAGUAAAAGGACCAUAUUCUCUUGAUCGUUAACUUUUGGAUUAGAAAACGUCAAUAUAUUAAAAUACAUCAAUAUCUAUUUUGAUAAAUUAUUUAAGAAUAUAACAGUAUAACCAAAAAUCAACGAUUAAUUUGAUAGAAAGAAGUCCGGUUAUAUCAAAUUCAUAGAAAGCGAUGAGAAUUUAACAUGAGAAGAAUAUUUUAGCGAAUCUUGUGAUAAUAUAUGUUAUUGGAAUAUCAGCAUAGUGAUUAGAAUUUUCUUGAAAAGAUAUUAGUAGAAUAUAUACUAGGAUUUGAUAAAUAUAUUAGAAUCUUUAUUUCUAUAGAAGAUUUAUUAGUCGAUAUUAGUGGGAUUUUGUGGAGUGAUGGGAUCAUAUGUUUCCCUAUUUUAUCUAGGGGUUUCUAUCUAUAAAAGGGGAUUGAUCAGAGCAGUCUUUCUCCAUAAUAUAGCCGAUAAUAUGAGUAAGACUUAUAAACCGUUGAAUAAAGAAACCGUGAAGUUACAAGCAAUGCUACAAAGGUACGGGUACUAUGAAAUGGUUCUCACUUCCCUUGAUUCAAAGGUUCAUUAGUCUUACUCGUAUUGUUAGCUAUAUUAAGAGGGAAACUCAAAGAUGUCAACAGAACUCCAGAAGAUGUCGGCCAAGAAAGUUCAGGAAGUUGUAACAUCAGCAACAAAGCAAUCUGCUAAUUGAAUCAAGUGGUGCCAAAGAGGCCAUAAAAUCCUUAAAAAGUGCCGGUAAUCGUUUAUUAUAUUGGUAGACAAACUCAAAAUAACUUUGCAUCUUCUGCUGUUUAAAGCUCAAGGAUAUAGCACAUAAGUUACCUCUCUUGCAAUGCGUUAUUGGCCUUGAUAGUAUUUUCCAUAUUAAUCUCACCGUCACUGUUUUGUCCUUAAGCAGUAGUUAAGCUCUUCAUUUUCUCUCAUGAAUUGUUUCUUUUUUUGGCGACAAAAGUCAAUUACACAUGUGAAACUACUUUCAUUUAGUCCACUGAAUGAUUUAAUCGAUCUAUUUUUGGAUUUCAAAUCACACGCAUAGUAGGUUCAAGAAUAUUAAUAUACUAACAAAAACCAAUUUACCUACAAACCCAAAAGUUAGAACUUAGAAGAUUAUACAAAUAGAAUUAAUCUAAUGCCCACUAUUGGAUAAGUUGAUGAGCACAUAGCAGUUAAGGAGGGACAAGAUUCAUUGAACAUAAACUUUAAAGUAUAUGUGGGAAGCCCACCAAACAAGAAUACACAUAUCAUCAAAUUGCCAAAUUGAUGUAAACAAAUGACGCAAUCAUCACGAAAUGCAUAAGUAGAAACCCUCUAACUGCAUCGGAGUGUCUCCAAAAAAAUGAUGAAAAAACGUAAAACAUAUCCUCUUUUUUUUCCUAACACUCGUAAAUUAGUUCACCUAGAUAUAAUAACUGAAUCAAGAAUCAAAGAAAUUGUUGAAAAGGUCCAUAGAAGAAGGAGACUGAAUCUUCGAUGGACUACUCUGAAGGAUAGAGUUAAAGUCAUUAAAGAACGACGAAAAACCUUGUGGAUCGGUUGGUCCAAUAGUGGAAAAGAAGUCCGGUGAUACCGACGGCAGAGAAUUAGGUCCCGGCGAUAAAAUCCCAGCAUGGUGGAAACUUGGCCGCUCGAACCCUUGAUUUUGAUGUUGUUGUUCUUGAUGAUGAUGAUGAUGAUGAUAAUGAUAAUAUUGAUCCAUAGUCCCUUCGCCUCCAACAAAUGUCCCUAGUUCGUUUGAGAUAUUAGCCUUCUCUGUAACAGCAAACCGAGCCGCCGGAGAUAUCAACCCAUGAGAUGUAUCAACCAUUGUUGACGCGUCUUUUGGUGCUGACGUAGAUGAAGAAUAGGAGGAGGAUGUUGUGGAGGUGGAGGUUUUACCUGUGAGACGUUGGACCAAUGUCAUGAAGUUAUUAGGGUGUGUAUGGAUAAUCCUGGGAGAUACUGUGUAUAUAAUCACGGGACCAGGUGGCGGCCGCGAUUGUGACGGUUCUUGCUGAUGGGUUUGUGGUGGUUGUGGUUGCGGGUGUGGCGGCGCUAGUGGUGGCUUCUUGAUGAUCUUGUGCGAAUCUCCACGGACUUUCAAUGGUAUUGGUCUCGGACCCAAGAUUCCUCUUGAUCUUGGCGAUCUAUUAUCCAUAGAAUCCACUUAAUGAGAUGAAUAGUAUAUGUGUAUGUGUGUGCGUGAUGAUGAAUUUAGUGAAGAACAAUGAUUAUGUGAUGAUUAGGGGAAAAGGCAGGGUACAUGAGUACUUGUAUAUAUAUGAUUUGUGUGUAUUAAAGAAGGAUAGAGAAAAGUCAAAUGAAGGAAGGAGAGUAAACCUACUUAAAAAGUGGUAAACUUUGGCUACUUGUUUGUUUGUAUUGAUUAUUAUAUCUUUUUAUGUAUGUUUCUUCUAGUAUGUUUCUUACCAAGAUUUGGUUUGGUUUACCCAAGAUUAAAAGUUUUCUAGUCGUGAGAAAAGACUCGCUAUUAACUACGACUUCCAACUUUUAUUAUUUAGUUUUCGUACCUCAAUUUAUUCUCGUUUGUGGUUAAUAUAAUUUGAUGAGAUAGAUACAUCUAGGUGGUGCUCACGUUGUUGUAUUUUUUUCUUUAAUAAAAAAAAAUUUAGAGGUGAAGUUACUGUUUAUAAGAUAGAGACAUAAAUUACGAAAAAAAAAAAAAAAUCGGAUACUUAUUUUUGUUUGCAUCUUAAUGGACUUAAAGGUUGAAUAUUUCCAGUCUAGAGGAAGUCAAAAGCGUAGAAGAGGUCAUAAGUGCCACGUCAGAUAAUUGGUAGCUGACUUGGCAUGAUUUUGUAGAGAGCUCCAACACGGUUCUUCUGAUCCAGACAUGACCCUGUGUCUGUGGACCAUAAUCAACACAAAUUUUGCCUUUGUCAAACAAUAUUUAUUCAAUAAAAACACAAAACUAGAUGUGGUCAGAAGUUUAAUAAUAUGUUUUCAAUAUUAACUGAUAUCUAUUGGCCUUUUUAAAAUCUAAAAUGAAUUUCGAGUUAUUGAAAUACUAUAAACAUGUCUGACAUUUAGUAGUUUUAGUGGUCAGGAAUGUCCACUUUGUAACUGAUUUUUUCUGUUCAAGGGUAUAUAUCACGGUUAUUAAAAAAAUUUAAAACUAUGUGACGUGAAAAUGUCAGAAAUAUAAUUGUGCUACGGCCACGAAAAUACGUUAUAUUGUCAUAAAUUUCAUAAUAGUGAUAAGGCCCACGUACUCUCGACCAACUCAAUUUUUCAUUUAUACGAAAAAAGCUCAAUAUCAUGGCUUCUUUGUCCAGAGACCAGAGGUUUUUGUCUCACGACACACACUCAAUGCGCCAUUCUUGCGCGUGGGUUCACGUUUUGUAGUCUCAGAGAAACAGAGCUUUUUUUUACAGUUAGCUGAAUCGCUACAUAACAAAAUUAAUCAAAACAUCACUACAAAGUCUUGAAGCGUUCGAUAAUAAUCUUUUGUGUUUGGGAGAUUAACAUAGUACAAAUUUAAAUCAUGAUAAUCUGAAAAAGGGCUUACUUGCGAUGUUGCUGGACGCGGGAACAGUAAUACAUGAGGGGAGAAAAAGUCUUUUGUGUUUGGUUUUGAGUCUAUUUUUUGGUCAAACUCGAAUCUCCAAAUGACAUGAAAUCCAUCUAUUUUCUUACUUAUUGCUCGAAAGUGAUUGGUCUUUCAAAGUCUCCCUAGAUUCUUCCAUUUAUGUAUAUUUUUUUGGUACAUUAGCCUAUAAUUAUAAUUUUUGCUGAACAACGAUUAGCGACAUUAUUUGCUAUCAAUUAGCUUCGGAUGCGAGUGAACGCGUAUAACCUUUAAAGGUCUCACGCGGUAAAUUAUAAAGAACAAUACUAUAUUACAUCGCAAAAGUAUAGUUGCGAAGUCUGGUUCUAGAUAGUACGAAUCAGUCUUAACACUGCCAACUGAAACAAAAAUAAAAUAUCGUAUAAAAUCAAAAUGGAGUUUUUAUUUUUUGGCUAAAAUGAAUUUUCUUACAAGAAAAUAUAGAUCAUUACCUAUCUUUUAAUUAUAUACUCAGACAAAACUUAUAUUAAAUUGAAAGCUAUAUUCGAACCCAACUAAAAACUGAAACUGUGUAAUCCAAUUUAUACAAGAUGACGUGAUUUAUAUUAAUCAUUACUAGUAUUUUUUUAGUAAACCUAGAAAUUCAGACUUCCAAACCGGGAUCAAGUCGAGAUUUGAGAUAUAUAGUUAAAAUGAGCCACUUAAACAAGAAUGGUACUAAACGUAGUAACCAAUUAUAGGCGGAAUCUUUUGGGGAAAAUGAACAACAGUUUAGAAGAAUCUACAAAUUCAUUAUGAGUGAAUGAAUAAGUGACAAAAAAAAAUAAAAAAAUAUAUGAAAUUGUGUGUAAAAUUCAGCGGAAAUUAAUUGGUGAAUUCAUCUUACAAUAGAGGAUAACAUCUUUAAUCUUCUCAUCUCUGUCUUCCUCUACCAUCGAACUACAACCGGAAGAAUUAGCCGGAGAAGAUUUUAUUGAGUGGAUGGAACUGCUCUUCCUUGUCACUUUCUUAGAUCUUCCUCGUUGCUCACCUUCCGCCGCCACGUCAAAGCACAUACACAGCCGCAUAAAUGGUUUCAGGAAUCCAAAAGUUCUUCCACUUGUUUUUGGUUGUGACAUUGUUCAAAGAUGAAAACUACAAAGAUCGCUCAAGAAAUGGAAUCUUAAGAAUACGAAUCCACGACGGUGGUGUCUAGAGUCGAGAGAUGUAAAAUGUAGAAGAUUUAAGUGUAUCUUUUAGUUUCUUACAGAUUAGGGAUAAUGACUAUAUAUAAACAUACAAAAGGUAAUUACAAUUUUGUGUUUUGAUUCUUUCGUUAUUUUGUUUCUAUAACAAAAAGUAGGGCAUUUUCUGAAAAUUAGAAAGUUUUGGUCUUUCUAGAGAUUUUUUGAAGGACCGUGAUGUGUGUUAGUAAUAGUAAUAGUUAUUUCCUUAUUUGAAUGAGCUUAUUAAUGUAUUUUACUAAUUUGUUAAGUUUUGAAUUGAUGUUACCGGCUAAAUUUGAGAAUUCAAUUACUGUUACCACAUUUGUGGGAUACAAAAUCUGCGGUAUAAUAUCGUUAUUCAAAAACAAAAAGAAUGAACAUUUAUUGUUGAGAAAAAUAUUGGCGAAAUCGAUGCUAUCCUUUGAUUGAAGCAAUCUUAUAGCAUUGGUAAGAUUUUUGUUUCCAACUACUAGCUUUUGCUAAGAAUAACUAUCCGACUUUAUCGCUAUCUUUUCGACUUUUUUCGUUUGCAAUAUAUUAGCAAAAUAAAUCAUGCAUGUAAUAAUAAUAUAACUGAAAUAAUGAUAAAUGAUGUUAUAAGAAGAAAGAAAGAAAAUUACAUAAAUGCUGCAAGAGUAACUUGUCUGUCCAAAGGUAUGAAAAUAAAAAAGGUAGCUAGGGCCCAAAAGCCCAAAAUACAUGCUGCACCAUGUUUCUAGGUCAAAGCAGCAACGCAAUCUCGAGUCUCGUUAUAGUAUUCCACUUUUCAUUGCUUCAUCACACGAUCAGAUCUAGAUCAAAGGUUUGGGACAUUUACCACAACAAUGUGGCUCUUCCUAUAUCAAUCAGCUCAAUGACGGUUUUGUGUCUUAUUCUAAUAAUCUAUAUAUAACCGCUUGCCAUUCCAAUGAUGAAGAGGGUAGAAAUCUCGAAGAGCAACCUUUUCGUAAACUUGUUGCUCUUUAGAUUUUGAUGAACCGCACCUAAGUUCUUAGCUGUCGAAUCUAGCGCCUAAUUAAGCUUGCCUCUCAAGUCCCAACGUUUUCAACCCUUCGAUAGAUAGCGAUUAGCGAACCAACAUGAAGAUCAAUAUUAAUUGGUGGAAUAAAUUCACAAAUAUGAGAUUUUAAUGAUUAGUCAAUGUAGUUAAAAUCAUAAACCCAAAACUUUUAUGAUAACAAAACUUGAGUAACAAGUAAUAUUUUUUGUUUGUAUCAACUAAAUAUACGCAAGUACUCCUAUCACAAUUAAGUCAAAAUCACUUUCGAGUCAAACUCGAAUUAAUAAUACAGCUAUGAUGAAUAAAUGCCAUCCGGAAAAAAAGAAUUAAGGUUUGACUUCCUAUUAUUUCACAAUUUAUAAGUAAUUUGUACUCGUAUAUAUAUUUUAAUCCUAACAGUACUACAUUAUCGUCAACCCAAAAUAAUAUUGGGAUCGGAGCUUACCAUAGAUCUAGUUUUUAAGGCUGCCCAAUCAAACUUGUAGGUGGUGAUCGACGAUGAUAAAAUAACAAUUGAGGGUUGUUUUAAUAAUAAUAAAAUGCUAAAAAAUAAUAAAUACAGAAGAGAAUUCUACUUGGGGGAAUAAGAAAGAAUGAGGAUUCAACUUCGUAGAUUUGAAGGGAUUGAGAGAAAUAAGAGAAGCAUUGGUCGACACGAAGGUAGAAGCACGUGUUCUCCCGUGCGUGUGGCCCUUAAUCUUGGCGUUAAUCUAUCUUAUUAAUCUUACUACAUUAUUAUGGUUACAAAAUCUAUGCUCUUAACGGUUAAUAAUCUACAUUUGUACUUUAACUUGACAGAUAACAUUUUGGUUAGUAAUGAAAAUAAUACAAGUAUUCCCCGCUCUUCCAAGGCGGAUCAUACUCAUUAAAUACAAUUGUUUUCUCUUUUCUUUUCUUAACUAUCAGUCAAGAUGCUAAAUUAUUUGUAACAACAAUAUAGUUGAAUUGAUCGGACAAAUAUCUUUUGUUAGAAACUCGAACUUAAUUCGUUCUUUAUUUGCUAUCAAAGACUAUACGUAUUAUGCAUGUAAUAGUAACUUAUUGGAUUUGACGGUAUUAAUUAAGUAACUUGGCAAAUGGAUAACCAAAAUGAUGUCAAUAAAUCAAUAAUAAUAUUGUACCGACGCUUGGAAGUGUUAAAACGAUAGAAUGUAGAAGAGAGUGCAAGUGAUCAAAUGUUACGAUGCUUUGUUUACUAAAUUUGUGGUGUCUUGCGGUUCACGAGAACAAGAUGCUGAGAAUGUAAGUGACUAAAUCAUUUACACACAUACUGUAUAUAAUAUGAUGGCUCCACGAUAAUAUUUUAAGAGAGUGUAAUUGUAGGAUAUAUCUUACAAUAUCAAUAAUUCAUAUUUUUCUUAACGUAAAAGAUUAGGUCAAUCAAACAAAAAAAAGAAUGAAACGAUUUGCAUCAUCCAAAUUAAUAAAUAUUAAGACAUAUUUUAAACAAUAAGUUUUUGUUUUCCGAUAAACUUUGAAAUUAUGAAAUGCAUGUACUCGAUAAUAAUACUCUUAUGUAAAACAAAAAAUUAUGAAAUGCAUGUACUCGAUAAUCAAAGUUGAACUAGUGAUGGCUCUCAGGAACACUCUUACGUAAAAAUGUGUUGGAUAGUUUAGUAACCAAGAGAAAACGUCAAAAUGAUUGCACAAAUUCAUAGACUCUAACAGACGAUGAAGACAUAGUGUGUUGGAAGGGGAAGGGAGAUCGCUUCAAAUCAACUUUCAACACGAAAGAAACUUGGACGGCCAUAAGAGAAUCAAAACCAAGAGCAGAGUGGCACCAAGGAGUUUGGCUCAACCACCACAAACCGAAGUUCUCUUUCAUGACUUGGCUUGCAGUUAGAAAUCGUUUAAGCACGGGAGAUAGAAUGUUACAAUGGAACAUGGGGGUGAAUUCAUGCUGCGUUUUCUGUCAUGCUCCAGUGGAAACACGAAAUCACUUGUUCUUCGCUUGUCAAUAUUCAGCAGAUGUAUGGACUGGAUUAUCUAGAAAGCUCUUAUCUCAACGGUUUUCAACAGAUUGGGACAUGAUCAUCAAACUCAUCACGGAUACAUCUCUCGGGAAAGGAUGUUUGUUCUUGGUGAGAUAUACUUUUCAGCUCACAGUGCACUCGAUAUGGAAGGAACGGAAUGGUCAUCGACAUGGAGAAGCACCCAUUCCCUCCUCCCAAUUAACCCGCCGUCUCGAUAAGCAAACCCGAAACAGAAUCUCUUCUAUUCGCGAGUUAGGAGAUAGAAGAUAUGAAGACUAUGGCGAUUUAGUUUGGCUCAAGAUAACAUAGACAUCUCUCAUUUUUCUAAAUUUGUUAAUGCUCUCAAAUUUUGCUUAAACACAAGCCGCACUUAAUGUAAAACAAUUUUUUUAGAAUAAUUUUACAUAAUAUUCAAAAAAAAAAAAAAUGGUUUGUCAGGAAAAAAGUAUUUUUUUAAUUCUUAUGAAACCCAAAUUUCAGGUCGAAUAAACUAAAAAAUCUUAGAGAAAUUCAUCCAAUUGUUUACCAAAACUUAAUAGGAAUAAAUCUAACAAGGACCAAAUUCGAAGGUAACUUGACGAAGAAGAAACGGAAAAGAAGACGCACGGCUCGGCAACCGCCCACGUUUACUUCGAAACAAUUCACACAUUUAUCGAUGCACCUCUGCUUCCACACACACAUGCUCUUCCUCACCUCUCCAUUCACACAUACACACCCGUAUAUAUAGAGUUACAUGAACUCAAUUAUACACCAAGUGCCCACUUGCUAGAUCUCACAAUCUUUCACACCCAAAAAUCAUAUAAGAGUACAUGAAAAAUGUUGCCGUACAUUGGACACAACAGCUACCAGCAGCACCAGUUUCCGUUGCCGGAGAUGGAAAUUCCGGAGAAGUGGAAGCUUUCUUACGAACAAGAGGCUAUUACUGCUCCGGCUUGUCCUCGUUGUGCAUCGUCCAACACCAAGUUUUGUUAUUACAACAACUACAGCUUGUCUCAGCCUAGAUACUUCUGCAAGGGUUGCCGUCGUUACUGGACGAAAGGCGGUUCUCUCCGCAACAUUCCUGUAGGUGGAGGCUGUCGCAAGAGAAGUCGAAGCAGACAGAACAGUCACAAAAGGUUUGGCCGGAACGAGAAUCGGCCAGAUGGUCUUAUUAACCAAGAUGAUGGAUUCCAGUCCAGCCCUCCUGGUUCUGAUAUUGAUUUGGCUGCGGUUUUCGCACAAUAUGUGACUGAUCGGAGCCCUUCUAGUACAGAUAAUACUACUGGAUCCGAUCAAGAUUCACCGAUAACAACAACCACUCAUGCUUUAGAAUCUUUGAGUUGGGAUAUCUGCCAAGAAACUGAUGUGGAUCUUGGAUUCUACGGGGAAUUCAAUAAUCUAACUCAGAAGACCAAAGAGGAUCAAGAAGUAUUUGGUCAGUUUCUCCAAGAAGAUCGAGAGGAGAUCUUCGAGUUCCAGGGUUUACUCGAUGACAAAGAGAUUCAAGAGAUCCUGGAAUGCUCAUUCUCAGAGGAGCCAGACCAGUUAGUUUCUCAGGGGAGCUUCAUGAUCAAUGGUGAUAACUGGAGUUCAACAGAUCUUACCAGGUUCGGGAUUUGACCAGGAAGGAGAAGAUGGUGUCUUUCUUUUUGAUCACAUAUACUUUAAUUUAUUAAAUAUAGAAAAGUACUAUUUACACUAAAACUGAUUCUUAUAUUGUUCAUAAAGUUAUAUCAUACAUGAACAAUCCCACAAUAUAGGAUCCGUGGAGUAGAUUUUACUGUAUAUUAGUCUCGAAUAAUGGAUACAACUUACACUUUCUAUGUUCUUCUGCUUUGCAUUCUUCUAUCCUUUCAGUUUCGAAUUUUGGAACAUACCUGUAAAAUUCACAAAUCCUUACUAUAUCUAUAUGUUAAAAAGCAAAAUCUUGACAGUUCUACAUCUCGUUAAGAAAGAAAGGAAGUUUAGUUUGCACCUCUAUCAGAACAAAAACUAUAAUUAACACUUUUCAUCGAUCUUUUGUUAGUUCCGACAUACUACGGACCUGAGUCUAUGGAACAUAAUUGAUAUAGAACAAGCGACUUGCCUGAAAAUAAUGCUAUUUGUAAGUACAAUCAUGUCUUAGCUCAUGACUUUGUUUCUGGGUGCCACUUUAUGCUGCAACCAACACUUAGAUACCAAAUGCAGGAUAUCAGUUGGUCAUCAAAGGCUAUAGAAUCGAAGAAAAAUGUAUCAGAUUUCAGUGUACCUUGGCUUUUGAUUUGAUGGUAUUGGUUGACAGCUAAGGGAAAGAUCAAUCGCCAGGCUUAGAUCCCUACGCACAUAUAUAACAGGUUAGGUUUUACUUUAAGACUUCUCUGAAAUAUGUUAAAAGCAGUAACAACGAACCUCCCGGUUACUGGUGAGUUACUGCUAGGCCGGGAAUCAUCAAAUUGACCAUGAUAGACCAGCUCAAAUGGUCUACGACCAUCCUGCUCCAUUUGACAGGCGAGAGCAAGUUGAGAUAGAGUUGAUAAACAAAACAAGACACAAUUUUCAUAAGAAGUAUUAAAUGUUUGAGCUUAUAAAGGAAUUCAUGAUUUAUCUACUCCCAAUCCAACAAAUGGCUAUCUUAAGCAUAUAUCCAUAAUACUAUAUUUCAAAUACAACUUUGUGAGUUAAUCUUUACAUGCUUUAGCAGAACAAAAUUCAUAGAAUACCCAAAAAGUAGACACUGCAACUGACUUAUCUGCUGUCAAAAUAUAUGAUCACAAAUUACCUUCUUAUACAAGAAAAACUCAGGUGUACAAACAGCUCCAAAUUCUCUUGCAACCUCUUGUGACUGAGGCAAGAGAGAAAAUGUCACAAGAAGAUCCGAAUAUGAGUAUAAUCAACUAACAACCCUGAAAAAAGCAUUGAAUAGACAAAAAGAUACCUCAUCAUAUAAGUAAGGAAAUGGGUAUUUGAAAACUUUUGCAUCCUCUGCCAUGAACUCAGGCCCAUCCUGUGAAAAUGAAACGAAACUUAAAGAAACCUCAUCUCAACAAUUAAAUAAGCACUGACACUACAGAGUCACACACACAAACCUGAGGAUGAGUUACCACAGAAUUUGAAGAUAUUGCAACAACAGCAAGACCUUUCUGCAGAACAGAACAAUAUAGCUAAGAUUCAUAUACCAAUGGAUAUAACAAUGGAGAAGCAAGUGUUCGGUACCUUCAUAUAGAAAUUGCAUAGCUUUACAAUGUCUUUUUUUAAAUGAAUCACAAACGGGCAAUGAUUGCAGAUGAACAUUACCUAGCAAUUGUAACAGUAUCAUGAUGAACACAAGAACAGAGCUUUAAAUACAAAUUAUGGCAAACUGAAUCAAACAGAUUAAAGAUACACUCACCAGUAGAGACGGAUACAGUUCAAAAUCUUCUAAUUUCCAUAAGUUUCCAGUGAGCGGCUCCGGAAGCUAAAUAGUUCACUCAUAAACACACACACAAAUCUCUAUAAUUAGAAACUCCUUGUUUUUUAUGUUUUUCCAGCGACGCGCAUAUCACAGUUUUACCUCAAAAUUGGGAGCUCUAGCUCCCAGUUUUACUCCGGCUGACUCAGUUCUAGCGGCGCGAACCACGAGGCGCCUCGGCGAUGGUGCAUUGACUCUCCGCCGCAGAUUACUGAAGUCCAACCUCGACGGCGAGAAUGAAGAAAACCUCCGGGAAGAGACUGCUAAUGCAGUUCGUGAAGGAAGUAUAGAUGAAGCUCCGUGUGUCACGGUGGUUACGACGGUGGAGGCAGCCAUUGUAGUCUCUGGUGAUUUCUUCAAUUCUACCGGAGCCAUAAAACACGCGUCAGUAUCUUAGACGUUUCUAGAUGAUGGGCCGAAUAGAGAUAAGGCCUAGCCCAAUAUGUUAGCACAAAGUAAAUGAAUAUUUCGAGAAAUUAAAUUGUAUCUUCUUUUGGUCCAAGCCCAUAAACCCAACAUUAUUUUAUUAAAAAAACAAAUUAGUAUAUCUUUUUUUCUUUUGUUUUACUUUUUAGUUUUUACUUCUUCUCAAUCAAACACUUUUUAUAUCCGAAAACAGAAAUUAAAUAGUUAUUGAUGGCCGACUAAAAAAGAAGACCAAAAAACAAAACUUAUAAAGUACUAUUAAAUUUUAGCAUCUAGAAGAGAAAGGAAUAAGCCGAUAACGUAAUGUCUUAGGCUCUUAGAUUAAGUGAUUGAUUUAUUUUAAAACAAAUCUACAAAAGUAUUUCAAUUCAUGAUACAAAAAAUAUUGUGAUUAAUUAACCAUGAUAUGAUAAUAUAUUUUGUUUCUAGUGAUGUUAGAGGUGACGUAUAGGCCUUUUGCUUUCAAAACUUGCAAUAUAUAUGCGAUUUACUUGUACAUAACUAAAUGUAUAUAAAUCACACACAAUAACAAAAGUUUACAAAACAUUAGUGAAUUGUUAAACUACGAAAUUUUUAUAAACUUCCACCCACAUAUUUGGAACUCGUUGGAACUAAGAUAAAUUAAUCUCUCAUAAAGUUUUCUUGUUUCUAUAAUUGUAUUAUAAAGAAUGUUUAUCAAUAUAUAUGAAUAAGUUCUAAAUUGUGUAAUUGUAUAUAUGCGAUAUGGACUUAAUUUUCAAAUGAUAAGGCACCUUCUUUAUAAGUUAUAAAUUUAUAAUUAAAGGAUAUUCUCUAACUUUUCGUCGUCUAUUAAGAAUGUAAUCACAUUAGGGUCAUGAUCGGGACUUAGGAAGACUUUAUACGCUACUGCAAAUUCACGUUUUAGUCUGAUAGAAAUUUUAGUUUUAUACAAUUAAAAGUAUAAUAGUGUUAGUGGAUUAGUUUUUAGUUUUGUCUCUUUUGUUUUUGAAAAGGGUUGUAAGUUUGUCAAUGGAGGGUUUAACUCGAGUACUCAUGAACCAUAUAUGAUGCGGUGGUACGUCAAGAGUGGAGAUAUAGGAUUAGAUAUCUCGUAGAAAAACAAUUUAAAUUUUCUUAUAAUUUACGAUCUUAAAUACAGUAUCGUACUGAGAAUAAGUUCUUCUUACCAACAUCAUAAUAUGUUUACUUUAGAUAUAAAAAUUGUUGAGAAAUAUUUAAAAUCGUAAAAAAAAACGAAAUCAAUUGGUGGUAUAUUACAAAACCCUUUUUCGUUUUAAUAUAUUACAAAACCUUGUUAGGUUUUAAUCGCUUAAGAGCUUGUUUUUAUUUAUUGUGAUGGUUGAAAUGUAUUUAUAUUUUAUUGUAUGUACUUAUACUAAAGGUACUUAAAUUUUUAUUGAUAUAAAGUACAGUGUGAGUAAUGUUUGAUACAGGAGAAAUUGUCGUAUUAUGUAAUGUAAUUGUGAAGCAAAUUGAGCUUUACAUGAAUAUUCAAUAUCUCAAAACUAAAUUUCAAUGUAAACCUUUCACAUAAUUAUAUACUAAAAUAUCUAUAUAACACUUAUAUAAUAUGUAUAGUGGUGUAAAUGAUUGGAUUCAUGAAGAAGAGCUGACAAUCCAAACAAUUAAGAAAUUGAGAGAAGAUUCCUUUUAUUUCAUCCUUGCAUGCCUUAUGAUCAGCCAGCACAUCUAAACGGAACCCUAAACCCAUUAAUCAAUAUUAUUAGUGUUUUCAACAGUUAGUUUAAUCGUUGAUAUCAACCAUUCUAUUUUAUUUAAAUAAUUGGAUCGAUUAGAACCAUAAAACAAAAAAAUUGAGGUCAAAAAGUGGGUCACCAUCAUCAUAAUCUAAGGAAUCUAAAGCGAUUAGUCGAUUACUAUUUUCAUGCCAUACCCAUAUAUUAUAUGAAUAUAUGCAUAACAUAUAUAUGAGUUAUACCCUCUUUGCUGUUGGAGUUUACUUGUCUCCGCUUCUAACCCAAAACUAUAUUAUUAUUAUAUAUUUUUGGUUUAAGCCAAAACUAUUUUAUUACUUUCAUCAAUCAUAUUAUAACGAGGAACAAUUUUAGCAUAUUAAAGUUGAAUGUCUUUUCUUUUUCCUUAUAUUUAAUUCUUCUCUUUAUAAUACAAAAGGUAACACCAACUUGAUAAAGUCUUUCUUUUUUUUGGGGCAAAUACUUGAUGAUUUAAAGUCAAAGCGAUGUUUUACAUUAAUAUAUAUAUAACGCUGGUCUUGUAAUAAAGUAGAAGAUUACAAAGAAGAAACAGAGAGAAGAGAUCAUGAAGAGAAAGAGAUACGAGAUGGAGAAGAAGAAGAAGACAGAGAUUCAAACCGCCAUUGAAGAGCUCUCUGUUUUCAUCGUAACUAAACCUGCAGAUAAGACUGAGGCUACACAUAUACCCUUGAGGCCUAUUCUCUCCUUCUGCAGCUUAAUCAUCCAAGUUCUUGGUAUCUUUAUUUCUAGUUUUCGUAGGAAAUUAUAUUAUUUUGAUUAAUUGUUUCAUCGAUUUUAUAUAUUUUCCUGAGAAACUGAAGUUCAAGGACAACUCAAUGAUUGUCAUUGUCCUGAGCUGCUUGUGUUUUGGUGCUUGCAGAUAAGAUAGGACCGACAAUGGCUGUUCUUAGACAAGACAUUGAUCAAAAUAUUCAGGUAACUAAAGAUAAUGUAACCUCAUGCAUGCAUAUUAAGACAAGACAAAGAGCUUUUAUUUAUAUUUUUAUUUGUCCUCUUUAUUGAUUGAAACUCAUCACAUCAUGUGUACGUAUGCAUGUAAUGUAUGGUGGCCGGUGGGUCUAAACUAAUAUCAAUAAAAUAGUCUAUAUAAAAAAUCUGUUGAACUUUUUUGCUGAUAAGAACGCCCAAUAGAUAUCUUCUCAAUGCUUUUGUUUUGGGUAAAGAUCUCUUCAAAUAAUUCAAUGUCAGGCUUGUAAUCCCUUAUUGAGUCUAUUUUUAAAAGACUUUCUAGAAAAUCUCUUCUUUCCCUCUUUUUCUCACACUUCAAUUAUCAUUUACUUAUGUAUUUAUUAUUUGUUGAUUUGGGUGGUGUAGAGAUUAGAGAAAUUUUAUGAAACAGAUUCCUGUGUUUACUCGAAUUUGGCUGAGAUUCUGAAGAAAGAAAAGGAGGAGGGAACAUCCAAGAUGGUUGCUAGUUGUGGUAGAGCUCUUUUUUGGCUCACUAGGUAGGUAUAUUCACUUCUUCUUUUUUUUGUUAAAAACCCUUCUUCUUUUUUCCCGGCGAUAUUUACCUUAAUUAAUGUAUAAUUCAUCACCUAAUUACAGAAUUCUCAUAAUUGAUAUGCAUGCACAUUAGGAUUGUAUUCUAAGUUCUAAUUCAUAAACUGCACUUUUCGUAAUUAGUUUGUCCGAUCCAUCACGAAUAUUCUCUCUAUUAGCACUCCGUACUACUAGUUACAACUUUGGACUUUACCAUAUAUGGAACUAAUGAUUAGUUAAUGUACUAUUUAGUGCUUAAUUAGGUGUAUGACUCUUUCUUACUAUAUUCUAUUACAUAGGACAAUGGAUUUUACUGCGGGUUUACUACGAUUGUUGUCGAAAGAGAUGUCGUCGAAAAUGGAAGAACUUGUAGAAGAAUGCUACAUGACGACUUUAAAACCGCAUCAUGGAUGGAUCGCGUCUGCUGCUUUCAAAGUAUACACCGUGAUCCCUCUCAUUCUAGCUAUGUCAUACUUACUAACAUCAUUUUCUUGUUAUAUCCCAGCAAACUUAUUUUUUAUUAUUAUGAAAUAGGUAUGAACAUAUAAAUUAAACUUUUCUUGGGAACAUAUAUUACAUGUGUUGAUAUCGUGAGAAUAUGUAAUAAUGAAGGUGUGUUUGAAGCUGGUGCCUGACAACAAGACGUUCAUGGAAGCGAUCGGUGCAAGAGACGAGAGCUAUGAUACCUUAAGAGAAGACAUUGAUACCUUGAGCUCAUUGUUGACACCUAUUCUCAAAGAAAUCUACUUUGUUCUGGUAAUUACCAUUAACUUAUAAUGUAGUAUUUUUGUUUAUAUAUUAUACAGUUAAAGUCCUUUAAUUUAUACGUUUUCAAUUUUUCGGUUUAUAUAUGUAUAUCCAUCAAUUGAUUAGCGUGCAUGGUGUUUCAAUUUCUGUUUCAGGAACAAUACGGGUUGAGCAGAUUAAGAUCGAUGUAGGUAAUGGAAUUUAGUGGAUAUUCUCCCAAAUGAUAAUUUUACUUUUAAGAAAAAUGUAUAUAUCUAUGUAUAUAUGUAUAUCAUUGUUGUAAGAUUUAUUUAUUUAAUCAUCCGAAAACCAAAAUGAUUUCUCUUUCUAAAGUUAGAGCUAGAUAUAUGUACAUCUCUGUAUCACGUGUAUAAAGAUGUGAUUUCUUCUGUACAUGUCACGGAUCAUGUCUUAAGCUUUGAAAGGACUAUGCAAAUAUAGAAGUGAAACUGUAAUGCACAUCAUCGAUCGGGCUCUCAUAUGUCUCGUAGUAUUGAUAUUGGAGUCUAUUGCAAUAUUAAAAACAUGUGACAUGAUGCCAAUGCAAAUCGACUAAUCACAACACGAUUUUGAGUAAAAUCGACUAACACAACAACACGAUUUUGAACACAUUAUUUAUUCUUCAUUAAUCUCGUAUAAAAUGGUAAAAAAGAUUAUGGAAACUGAUGAUAAUAAACCCAUUACAUUACUAUAUAGGCUAAUUACAUAUGGACCAUGAUGUGGAUCUGGGCUUUUAAAACUUCCAUGAUCUCAUAACAAAGUCUCUUCCUCGCUCACGUCGAAAACAUCUCCCCGAAGUUUCUUAUUACUUACCUUGUUCAAAUCGUUAAUUGUCCUUUAAAACUUCGAUCUUUGUUCAACAAAAAUAAUCUCAGACUCUCGGUCAACGGAAUCGAAGCAAAACUCUGCCUCUAGUUCCGUAGAAUUCACCGGAGACUGAACAAAAAUCCCGUGAGUUUUUUAGUUUUCCGUUACAUUCUCUGUCUCAAUUCUGAAACUUUUCACAUGGGUUGUGCUCAAAUUUCCUUUUUAAUGGUUGUCGAGAUUUAUCUAUAAAGUCAAUGAUCUGGGUUUGAUCAAAGUCUCAAUCUUUCUCUUAAAUUUCGAAUAUUUGAUGAUCCCACGAGUUAGUCUCUCUAAAUCUGAUCUGGCUAUGCUUAAUCCGCCACAUUGUUGCUCUCAAGCUCUGGAUUUGAUUGUAUCAUGAAAAGUUAUCCAAUUGGAUCGAGUAAGGCAUUUCAUGCGUACUCAAGAAGCGGUGAUUUCGAUUUAGAAUCAGGAGGAACUAUCAGAAAAUCUAGAAAGCCUAAGACUUCGUUUUCGAAGAUGAUCAAAUCUCUUGGGAAUCGUCUUCACCACAUGUUCAAAUUGCACCCGGUUCUCGUUUUCGUCGUUUGUGUCUCGUUUGGUAUCACAGUUCUGAUACUUGUAUCGUCGAUUUACGGGAACCGUUUAGGAUCAACGGUUAGUUAUUAUAAGAAGAAUGAUUUGGAUAGCGAUGGUUAUCCAUUUGCUAAUCUGAAGAACCUUGUGAUGGUUGCUGGACAUUCUGUUUAUACGAGUAGUGAUUGUGGUAAAGUUGAGAAGGAGGAUUCGUGGUUCUUGGAGUCUUAUCAGAAGAAUCCAGGUCAAGCUGCAACGUUCUUGAGUCAUAUACAAGAAGGUGUUGAAGCAGCAGCGAAAGAUGAUGAGUCUUUGCUUCUAUUCAGUGGUGGAGAGACUCGUAAGGACGCAGGACCUCGUAGUGAAGCUCAGAGUUAUUGGGCUGUUGCUGAGUCAAAAGGAUGGUUUGGUGAGUCUUAUUAGUUUCUGCUCUUUAUUGACUUGAUGGCAAAAAUGUGGUUUUGAUUGUUUGGCUUGUGUUAAUGAACAGGUAAGAAUGAGGUGAGGUCUAGGGCCUUGACGGAAGAGCAUGCCAGAGACAGCUUUGAGAAUCUUCUCUUUAGCGUUUGUCGAUUCAGAGAGCUCACAGGCUCUUACCCACAGAACAUAACAGUAAAGCCUUUUGCUUUCGAAUUUUGCGCUCUUUAGUGAGCGAAUGGUUUUCCAUUCUUGUGAUAUUAAUGUAUCCCUCAUGCUUGGAUCAGGUAGUGAGUUAUGAUUUUAAGGAGGAGAGAUUUGCGCAUUUGCAUCGUUCAGCAAUGGGAUUUCCGGAAUCAAGAUUUUUCUACUUAGGAACACCAGCUUCUCUAUCAUCCAAAGAAGGCGCUCUAAAAGGCGAGGCUUUGGUUAGAUCACAAUUUCAAGAAGAUCCAUACGGAUGUGUUGGUUCGCUUUGGCGUAAGAAGCUGAAUCGUGACCCUUUCCAUAGGACUAUACCUUACCCUAUUGGUUGCCCUGAAAUUGGAGGAUUGUUCAGGUACUGUGGUUCAGCUCCUUUUCCUGGCUCUCUCCCAUGGGGCUAAUCUGUAUAAGAUCUAUACUUAAAGAGGAAUCAAUACUUGAUCAAAGAGCUUGUUGGUAGAGAAACUCUUUUUCUUUUUGUUACUGUCCAACAUAUUUAGAUUAUACAGAAAACUUCAGAAUCUUUGUAUUCUGCUUUCAUGUGUUGUCGAAAAACCGAGAAUUUUACUUGUAUCAAAUGCAAUUUACGUAAAAUAAAAUUUUGACAUUUCUAUCCAAUAACAGAUCUCUAUUCACUAUUUUUUUUAUUUGGUAAAAAAAUCCAUGUUCAGUCAAAGGAAACAAGUACACAAGUGAAAGAAAAAAGAAUAGUAAAAGAGUAGUUGUUUACUGAAGUAACAACUGCCAGCUCUGUCUCAAAACGGUUUGUUGUUCUGAUUGUUGGGUUUGGAGGAAGAAGAUGAUGAUGUCCUGGUUUUUGCAAAAUCCAUCAGGUCUUUAAAAAGGAUAUCCUCUGGUUUAUCAUCUUUCUUUGGUGGAGUAACAGGAGCAGCAGAGGCUGUUGGAUUAAGAGAGAGAUUCCGGGAUUGUCCCAAAAGAUCAUCGUAUGAAGAUUCAGAGGCACUGCUUGAGUGUUGUGGAACAUUAUGCUGGAAGUAUUCUGGCCUCUUGUUGGUUCUAGCAGACAUUGAGGGUGGAUACUUCCGGGGCUCCUGAGUCUCCCAUGGAGCAGGAGGCAAUUGUUCAGUUUGGUCAUAGACUGGUUUGGUGAAUAAAGCAUGCUCAGGGGAUUUGCUCUGAGGAACUGGUUCAUCGAAAAUAGGAGCAGAAUAGUCAUGGUUUGAUGAUUGGGAUGUACUCGGAGGCUUUACAUUCUCGAAGGUUUCUUGAGGUUUGUAGACAUCACCACUGAGGAAGUCCAUAGCACCAGAAUCAACAUGUACUGGCCUCAUUGAAGAUGGUGGAGGAGGAAG